GGAAUGAUGGUGACUUAAACCCUCACCAGAGUACCAAUUGGAGGGCAAGUCUGGUGCCAGCAGCCGCGGUAAUUCCAGCUCCAAUAGCGUAUAUUAAACUUGUUGCAGUUAAAAAGCUCGUAGUUGAAUUUCAGCGUUUCGCGUGUGCCUCUUUUGGCCCAUCUCGUCUCGCUUUUUUUAUUACUUUGAGAAAAUUAGAGUGUUUCAAGCAGGCUUUUGUCUUGAAUACUUGAGCAUGGAAUAAUAGAGUAGGACCUUGGUUCUAUUUUGUUGGUUUUGUUACCUUGGUAAUGGUUAAUAGGAACGGUUGGGGGCAUUCGUAUUUAACUGUCAGAGGUGAAAUUCUUAGAUUUGUUAAAGACGAACUACUGCGAAAGCAUUUGCCAAGGACGUUUCCAUUAAUCAAGAACGAAAGUUAGGGGAUCGAAGACGAUCAGAUACCGUCGUAGUCCUAACCA
RNAcentral lists this ribosomal RNA (458 nucleotides) under Babesia occultans. Its description in RNAcentral is "SSU rRNA". It matches the Rfam family "Eukaryotic small subunit ribosomal RNA", at positions 511 to 1032 of the family's 1831-position model. Lineage: Eukaryota; Apicomplexa; Aconoidasida; Piroplasmida; Babesiidae. The record is from RNAcentral.